Molecule: ribosomal RNA, 254 nt
Filed under: uncultured bacterium
Lineage: Bacteria
Description: partial 16S ribosomal RNA
Rfam family: Bacterial small subunit ribosomal RNA
Source: RNAcentral
UUGAACGCUGGCGGCAUGCCUUACACAUGCAAGUCGAACGGUAACGCGGGGCAACCUGGCGACGAGUGGCGAACGGGUGAGUAAUGCAUCGGAACGUGCCCAGUAGUGGGGGAUAGCCCGGCGAAAGCCGGAUUAAUACCGCAUACGACCUACGGGUGAAAGCGGGGGACCGCAAGGCCUCGCGCUAUUGGAGCGGCCGAUGUCGGAUUAGCUAGUUGGUGGGUAAGGCCUACCAAGGCGACGAUCCGUAGCUG